CCUACGGGAGGCAGCAGUAGGGAAUCUUUCACAAUGGGCGUAAGCCUGAUGGAGCAACGCCGCGUGCAGGAUGAAGGCCUUCGGGUUGUAAACUGCUUUUAUAAGCGAGAAAUAUGAUGGUAACUUAUGAAUAAGGAUCGGCUAACUACGUGCCAGCAGCCGCGGUCAUACGUAGGCUCCGAGCAUUAUCCGGAGUGACUGGGUGUAAAGAGUUUCGUAGGUGGCAUAAUAAGUAGCUAGUGAAAUCUGGGGGCUCAACCAUUCAGACUAUUAGCUAAACUGUUAGGCUCGAGACCGUUAGGGGUAACUGGAAUGUGUAGUGUAGGAGUGAAAUCCGUAGAUAUUAGAAGGAACACCGAUAGCGUAGGCAGGUUGCUGGGACGGUUCUGACACUAAGGCACGAAAGCGUAGGGAGCAAACGGGAUUAGAUACCCGUGUAGUC
This 442-nucleotide ribosomal RNA is filed under the name uncultured bacterium. RNAcentral describes it as "partial 16S ribosomal RNA". It matches the Rfam family "Bacterial small subunit ribosomal RNA", at positions 338 to 795 of the family's 1533-position model. The record is from RNAcentral.